CAGGGGUCAGGCCAGAUUAAGCCAUAG
RNAcentral lists this long non-coding RNA (27 nucleotides) under dengue virus type 1. RNAcentral describes it as "dengue virus type I partial sfRNA1". The record is from RNAcentral. Lineage: Riboviria; Orthornavirae; Kitrinoviricota; Flasuviricetes; Amarillovirales; Flaviviridae.